Molecule: ribosomal RNA, 425 nt
Filed under: uncultured bacterium
Lineage: Bacteria
Description: partial 16S ribosomal RNA
Rfam family: Bacterial small subunit ribosomal RNA
Source: RNAcentral
GUGGGGAAUUUUGGACAAUGGGCACAAGCCUGAUCCAGCAAUGCCGCGUGCAGGAAGAAGGCCUUAGGGUUGUAAAGCUCUUUUACCCGGGAUGAUAAUGACAGUACCGGGAGAAUAAGCUCCGGCUAACUCCGUGCCAGCAGCCGCGGUAAUACGGAGGGAGCUAGCGUUGUUCGGAAUUACUGGGCGUAAAGCGCACGUAGGCGGCUUUGUAAGUUAGAGGUGAAAGCCUGGAGCUUAACUCCAGAACUGCCUUUAAGACUGCAUCGCUUGGAUCCAGGAGAGGUGAGUGGAAUUCCGAGUGUAGAGGUGAAAUUCGUAGAUAUUCGGAAGAACACCAGUGGCGAAGGCGGCUCACUGGACUGGUAUUGACGCUGAGGUGCGAAAGCGUGGGGAGCAAACAGGAUUAGAUACCCGUGUAGUCC